Molecule: ribosomal RNA, 293 nt
Filed under: uncultured bacterium
Lineage: Bacteria
Description: partial 16S ribosomal RNA
Rfam family: Archaeal small subunit ribosomal RNA
Source: RNAcentral
GUGCCAGCAGCCGCGGUAAUACCGGCAGCCCGAGUGAUGGCCGAUCUUAUUGGGCCUAAAGCGUCCGUAGCUGGCUGCGCAAGUCCGUCGGGAAAUCCACUCGCCCAACUGGCGGGCGUCCGGUGGAACCUGCACGGCUUGGAACCGGAAGACCCGACGGGUACGUCUUGGGUAGGAGUGAAAUCCCGUAAUCCUGGACGGACCGCCGAUGGCGAAAGCACGUCGGGAAAACGGAUUCGACGGUGAGGAACGAAAGCCAGGGUCUCGAACCGGAUUAGAUACCCCUGUAGUCC